This 403-nucleotide ribosomal RNA is filed under the name bacterium. Its description in RNAcentral is "partial 16S ribosomal RNA". It matches the Rfam family "Bacterial small subunit ribosomal RNA", at positions 355 to 776 of the family's 1533-position model. The record is from RNAcentral.
UGGGGAAUAUUGCACAAUGGGGGAAACCCUGAUGCAGCGACGCCGCGUGAAUGAAGAAGGUAUUCGUAUCGUAAAGUUCUGUCCUAUGGGAAGAUAAUGACAGUACCAUAGAAGAAAGCUCCGGCUAAAUACGUGCCAGCAGCCGCGGUAAUACGUAUGGAGCGAGCGUUGUCCGGAAUUAUUGGGCGUAAAGGGUACGCAGGCGGUUUAAUAAGUCGAAUGUUAAAGAUCGGGGCUCAACCCCGUAAAGCAUUGGAAACUGAUAAACUUGAGUAGUGGAGAGGAAAGUGGAAUUCCUAGUGUAGUGGUGAAAUACGUAGAUAUUAGGAGGAAUACCAGUAGCGAAGGCGACUUUCUGGACACAAACUGACGCUGAGGUACGAAAGCGUGGGGAGCAAACAGG